RNAcentral lists this ribosomal RNA (514 nucleotides) under uncultured bacterium. Its description in RNAcentral is "bacterial SSU rRNA". It matches the Rfam family "Bacterial small subunit ribosomal RNA", at positions 8 to 526 of the family's 1533-position model. The record is from RNAcentral.
AGAGUUUGAUCAUGGCUCAGAAUCAACGCUGGCGGCGUGCCUAACACAUGCAAGUCGAGCGAGAAAAGGGGAGCAAUCCUCUGAGUAAAGCGGCGCACGGGUGAGUAACACGUGGGUAAUCUGCCCUGGAGUGGGGAAUAACACCGGGAAACCGGUGCUAAUACCGCAUACGAUCACGAUUUCUGCGGAUGACGUGAUGAAAGGAGCAAUUCGCUCCAGGAGGAGCCCGCGGCUGAUUAGCUAGUUGGUGAGGUAAUGGCUCACCAAGGCUACGAUCAGUAUCCGGUCUGAGAGGACGGUCGGACACACUGGAACUGAGACACGGUCCAGACUCCUACGGGAGGCAGCAGUGGGGAAUUUUUCGCAAUGGGGGCAACCCUGACGAAGCAACGCCGCGUGGAUGAUGAAGUAUCUCGGUACGUAAAAUCCUUUCGACAGGGAAGAAACCCGCAAGGGUUGACGGUACCUGUAGAAGAAGCCCCGGCUAACUCCGUGCCAGCCGCCGCGGUAAUUC